AGACCCGAAACCCGGUGAUCUAGCCAUGGGCAGGUUGAAGGUUGGGUAACACUAACUGGAGGACCGAACCGACUAAUGUUGAAAAAUUAGCGGAUGACCUGUGGCUGGGGGUGAAAGGCCAAUCAAACCGGGAGAUAGCUGGUUCUCCCCGAAAGCUAUUUAGGUAGCGCCUCGUGAAUUCAUCUCCGGGGGUAGAGCACUGUUUCGGCUAGGGGGCCAUCCCGGCUUACCAACCCGAUGCAAACUGCGAAUACCGGAGAAUGUUAUCACGGGAGACACACGGCGGGUGCUAACGUCCGUCGUGAAGAGGGAAACAACCCAGACCGCCAGCUAAGGUCCCAAAGUCAUGGUUAAGUGGGAAACGAUGUGGGAAGGCCCAGACAGCCAGGAUGUUGGCUUAGAAGCAGCCAUCAUUUAAAGAAAGCGUAAUAGCUCACUGGUCGAGUCGGCCUGCGCGGAAGAUGUAACGGGGCUAAACCAUGCACCGAAGCUGCGGCAGCGAACGUAUCACCCAAGACAACUUUACGGAGUUGACGAUUGACGGAGCG
This 548-nucleotide ribosomal RNA is filed under the name Salmonella enterica subsp. enterica serovar Heidelberg. RNAcentral's name for it is "partial 23S ribosomal RNA". It matches the Rfam family "Bacterial large subunit ribosomal RNA", at positions 711 to 1223 of the family's 2925-position model. The record is from RNAcentral. RNAcentral also lists the same sequence under 3 other names. Lineage: Bacteria; Pseudomonadati; Pseudomonadota; Gammaproteobacteria; Enterobacterales; Enterobacteriaceae.